This 658-nucleotide ribosomal RNA is filed under the name Phyllobacterium sp. C-150. RNAcentral's name for it is "bacterial SSU rRNA". It matches the Rfam family "Bacterial small subunit ribosomal RNA", at positions 9 to 673 of the family's 1533-position model. The record is from RNAcentral. Lineage: Bacteria; Pseudomonadati; Pseudomonadota; Alphaproteobacteria; Hyphomicrobiales; Phyllobacteriaceae.
GAGUUUGAUCCUGGCUCAGAACGAACGCUGGCGGCAGGCUUAACACAUGCAAGUCGAACGCCCCGCAAGGGGAGUGGCAGACGGGUGAGUAACGCGUGGGAAUCUACCCAAUUCUUCGGAACAACACAUGGAAACGUGUGCUAAUACCGAAUGAGCCCCCCUUUACAAUGCCAGGAUGCAUAGAAUGCCCUGGCAUUUUAUGGGGGGGAAAGAUUUAUCGGAAUUGGAUGAGCCCGCGUUGGAUUAGCUAGUUGGUGGGGUAAAGGCCUACCAAGGCGACGAUCCAUAGCUGGUCUGAGAGGAUGAUCAGCCACACUGGGACUGAGACACGGCCCAGACUCCUACGGGAGGCAGCAGUGGGGAAUAUUGGACAAUGGGCGCAAGCCUGAUCCAGCCAUGCCGCGUGAGUGAUGAAGGUCUUAGGAUUGUAAAGCUCUUUCACCGGUGAAGAUAAUGACGGUAACCGGAGAAGAAGCCCCGGCUAACUUCGUGCCAGCAGCCGCGGUAAUACGAAGGGGGCUAGCGUUGUUCGGAUUUACUGGGCGUAAAGCGCACGUAGGCGGACUUUUAAGUCAGGGGUGAAAUCCCGGGGCUCAACCCCGGAACUGCCUUUGAUACUGGAAGUCUUGAGUUCGAGAGAGGUGAGUGGAAUUGCGAG